Molecule: ribosomal RNA, 253 nt
Filed under: uncultured bacterium
Lineage: Bacteria
Description: partial 16S ribosomal RNA
Rfam family: Bacterial small subunit ribosomal RNA
Source: RNAcentral
GACAGAGGUGCCGAGCGUUAGGCGGAAUCACUGGGCUUAAAGCGUGUGUAGGCGGGCGAUCAAGUACCUUGUGAAAUCCCACGGCUCAACCGUGGAACCGCUGGGUAUACUGGUUGUCUUGAGCCGGCUAGGGGCGAGCGGAACAGACGGUGGAGCGGUGAAAUGCGUAGAUGUCGUCUGGAACGCCGAAGGUGAAAACAGCUCGCUGGGGCCGCGCUGACGCUGAGACACGAAAGCCAGGGGAGCGAACGGG